CUGGAGCCCUGGAGCCCACGGCCGGGGCCGCGGGCGGGGCCCGGGACUGCGGUGCUGCGCCCGAGCACGUACUGAGGCGUGGCCUGCCGCGCGCCGGGCGGGGCUCGGGAAGUUUCUCGGGUUGGCUUGGGUUUCGCAUCCUCAUCAUGUAGCGCCAGCCACACCAGGAACAGAAGGGUGCCGGGUACCUUCCGCAUGCUUGGUAUUCUCCCCGCGGGGCUCUGACCGCUGCCGCUCUCAGGCACCUGUCUUUCCUCUCCGUCCCAGAAUGGAGCCAAGACAAGGGAAUAAACGAAAUUCAAUAGUACACGGAGAUCGGGUGUCUGGGCAGCGUCUUGGAAAAACUAUCCACUACAGUACAGGUCAAGUGAAGUUCUUCUGCUGAUAUGUUCUGCUACUGCAUAAGAGACGGAAUCUAUGUUGCCUCGACUGGUCCUGAACUCCUGGGCUAAAGCGAUCCUUCUGCCUUGGCCUCCCAAAGUGCGAGGAUUAUAGGUCAAUCAACAACACAGAAGACAACUUCUGCAACCCUAUCGGGAGAGGAGGGGUUCUCUCCACCACCAGAUUAUUCCUGACUAGUGAUAUAAAUAAAAUCUUUCCUGGUCCAGAAUUGGUGUUGAGCCUCUCAACAAAUCUUUGAGCCCUGAUUAUAUAUAAGGUAUUGUGCCAGGUGCAGUGGCUCACGCCUGUAAUCCCAGCACUUUGGGAGGCUGAGGUGGGCGGAUCACCUGAGGUCGGGAGUUCGAGACCAGCCUGACCAACAUGGAGAAACCCCGUCUCUACUAAAAAUACAAAAUUAGCUAGGCAUGUUGCCACGUGCCUGUAACCCCAGCUACUCGGGAGGCUGAGGCAGGAGAAUCAACUGAACCUGGGAGAUGGAGGUUGUGGUGAGCUGAGAUUACACCAUUGCACUCCAGCCUGGGCAACAAGAGCAAAACUCCAUUUCAAAAAAAAGAAGUAUUGUGCUAGAUAAAUAAAACAACAAAAAUGUGUAUGUAAAGUUUUUACUCUAAGAUGAAGGUUCUCAAACGUCAGUUUUCAUCACAGUCCCCUGGAAGAAUUCUCAAAACACAGAAUGCUUGCCAAGUCAAUCCUAAGCCAAAAGAACAAAGCUGGAGGCAUCACACUACCUGACUUCAAACUAUACUACAAGGAUGCAGUAACCAAAACAGCAUGGUACUGGUACCAAAACAGAGAUAUAGACCAAUGGAACAGAACAGAGCCCUCAGAAAUAAUGCCGCUUAUCUACAACCAUCUGAUCUUUGACAAACCUGACAAAAACAAGAAAUGGGGAAAGGAUUCCCUAUUUAAUAAAUGGUGCUGGGAAAACUGGCUAGCCAUAUGCAGAAAGCUGAAACUGGAUCCCUUCCUUACACCUUAUGCUAAAAUUAAUUCAAGAUGGAUUAAAGACUUAAAUGUUAGACCUAAAACCAUAAAAACCGUAGAAUAAAACCUAGGCAAUACCAUUCAGGACAUAGGCAUGGGCAAGGACUUCAUGUUUAAAACACCAAAAGCCAUGGCAACAGAAGCCAAAAUUGACAAAUAGGAUCUAAUUAAACUAAAGAGCUUCUGCACAGCAAAAGAAACUACCAUCAGAGUGAACAGGCAACCUACAGAAUGGGAGAAAAUUUUUGCAAUCUACUCAUCUGACAAAGGGCUAGUAUCCAGAAUCUACAAUGAACUCAAACAAAUUUACAAGAAAAAAACAACCCCAUCAAAAAGUGGGCAAACGAUAUGAACAGACACUUCUCAAAAGACGACAUUUAUGCUGCCAAAAGACACAUGAAAAAAUGCUCAUCAUCACUGGCCAUCAGAGAAAUGCAAAUCAAAACCACAAUGAGAUACCAUCUCACACCAGUUAGAAUGGCGAUCAUUAAAAAGUCAGGAAACAACAGGUGCUGGAGAGGAUGUGGAGAAACAGGAACACUUUUACACUGUUAGUGGGACUGUAAACUAGUUCAACCAUUGUGGAAGUCAGUGUGGCGAUUCCUCAGGGAUCUAGAACUAGAAAUACCAUUUGACCCAGCCAUCCCAUUACUGGGUAUAUACCCAAAGGAUUAUAAAUCAUGCUGCUAUAAAGACACAUGCACACGUAUGUUUAUUGUGGCACUAUUCACAAUAGCAAAGACUUGGAACCAACCCAAAUGUCCAAUAAUGAUAGACUGGAUUAAGAAAAUGUGGCACAUAUACACCAUGGAAUACUAUUCAGCCAUAAAAAAGGAUGAGUUCAUGUCCUUUGUAGGGACAUGGAUGAAGCCGGAAACCAUCAUUCUCAGCAAACUAUCGCAAGGACAAAAAACCAAACACCGCGUGUUCUCACUCAUAGGUAGGAACUGAACAAUGAGAACACAUGGACACAGGAAGGGGAACAUCACACGCCGGGGCCUGUUGUGGGGUGGGGGGAGCGGGGAGGGAUAGCAUUAGGAGAUAUACCUAAUGUUAAAUGACGAGUUACUGGGUGCAGCACACCAACAUGGCACAUGUAUACAUAUGUAACUAACCUGCACGUUGUGCACAUGUACCCUAAAACUUAAAGUAUAAUAAAGAAAAAAAAAACACAGAAUGCUG
Molecule: long non-coding RNA, 2568 nt
Filed under: Homo sapiens (human)
Lineage: Eukaryota; Metazoa; Chordata; Mammalia; Primates; Hominidae
Description: HSALNT0377447
Source: RNAcentral